UCUUCCAUUCAUAGUCAGCGAAAGUGUCAAGUGUCCGCAUAAUUGAAUAUAGCGAAACUGUCAUCGGCACACUUUUCCCUCACGCGGCGAGAAGAACAAACCGUCGCCGCCCUGCAUGAGCAAAUUAUUUAUAAUUAUGAACCCUCUUCAUGCGUAUCCUUGACUUCUUCUCCAACUUUUACCGUAAUUACUGGGAUUAAGUGUACCGUAUUA
Non-coding RNA from Caenorhabditis elegans, 213 nucleotides. Lineage: Eukaryota; Metazoa; Nematoda; Chromadorea; Rhabditida; Rhabditidae. The record is from Ensembl.